Molecule: ribosomal RNA, 282 nt
Filed under: Triticum aestivum (bread wheat)
Lineage: Eukaryota; Viridiplantae; Streptophyta; Magnoliopsida; Poales; Poaceae
Description: partial small subunit ribosomal RNA
Source: RNAcentral
AUGAAGGCCUUCAACCAAUUCUACAACCUUGCUGGCAACUAUUUUGGCUUUCUCAACUCGGCGAUCGUAGCCCUCAUCCCCAAGAAAGUCGGCACGAACGACAUCAACGACUACCGUCCGAUUAGCCUGAUACACUCCAUAGCCAAGUUAGUCUCCAAAGUGCUCUCGAUCAGGAUCGCCCCGGUUGUUCAACGCAUCAUAUCGCCAGCCCAGACAGCUUUUCUGAAAACUAGAUGCCUCCACAACAGCUUCGUCUACGUCCAAAAUUGUGUUAGAGCUCUG